This 3567-nucleotide unclassified non-coding RNA is filed under the name Leishmania donovani. RNAcentral's name for it is "gene:LdHU3.06.1350(CDS-product:hypothetical_prote in_conserved)". The record is from RNAcentral. Lineage: Eukaryota; Euglenozoa; Kinetoplastea; Trypanosomatida; Trypanosomatidae.
GGCGGAGGGCCACAUCAGUCAGCGCCGUCUUCGCCUUCGCAUUAUUUUUUGUGCCGAGGCCAAUUCCCUGUGCCUCUGUCUCGCUCCUACAUACCACUCACUCCUGCCUGCCAUCACCAUGGAUGUGGAUGUGGCCUACGCCGAGUCCGUGCCGCGCUACGUCGAUCUUGCGCUGUUUCUCUGCGGUGAGGCACUGCGGCUCAUCAAGGGUGAGCUCCGUCAGCACGCAGCGGCAGCGGCACCACUCUACGCAUGGCACCUUCACAAGGUGUGCUUCCUGCACGCUCUGCCGAACGAUGGAGACGCCUGCGUCGACGGUGCCGCGGCGGAUGACGACGCCAACCCAGCAGCAGCAGCGGCGGCACGAUCAGGGUGCACAGGUCUAUCGAGUGCCGCCCCGUCGCUCGGCCAAAUAGAUGAAGAGACCACUUGGGACGUCGCACCAGCACUGUCGGCUCAGAGCUCGAAGGAGGUCAGCUUUCGGCGCGCCUAUGCCCAGCUGCGCCGCCCGUGCGGCGUCGACUCGUGGAUGGGAGCGAAGGAGAAGCCGGAUGCACAUGUUGCCCCAACUGCGGCCGGCGCCCCUACCAGAGAAGACGCUAGUCCCAGCCAAGUGGCAGGGCAGGUUCACCCGCGCUCCCCACGCGAGGGGGAGCAUAGGUGCGGCAGAGCCCACGCGCCGCAGCCGUUGCACCGCCCCAGCGCGACACCCACCGACGUGGGGUUUGCCCUGCUGUGCGACUUUCUGCGAACGGCAGCGCAAGCGGGAGGGACACCGCUUAUGCAGCGUCUCGCCGCCGUCCUGUGCAGCCUUGUCACUCGGCCAACAAAACGCGGAAGUGCCCCGGACGCGCACCUUUCGCGUAUAAGGGAACUGCCGCCAUCGCCGACGAUCACCGUCGCGCAGCUCUCGGACCUCUUCGACGAGAACCUCUUCGACGACGAGCUCAGUGCCGAGGCCGGCAACGCCACGCGCAGCUUUCACAUAUGGGUGAACUACGAGUGGGCCAGCGCAUCGUUUGCACGACAGACGCAACUGGCGGCCGCCGUGACGAAGUGGCUGGCCUCACUUCGCCACUGCCGCGACGGGUCGCCGCCGGCGUGGCUACCAGCGCUAAAGCAGCGCUCCGCCGCAUCGACGCUGCCUCGCCCGCUGGCGUCGGCGGUUCCGAUCAACGUGCGGCGGAUGCAAGCGGCACUCGAGGGUGUCUUCGAGGGUCACGCGUGCACGCGGGCUAUGCUGAUGGAGCUGUCGUUGACGCAGCGCACACCGCACCUCACCGACAAUGCGCUUGCCAAGCUGCUCGCUCUCCAAGGGCCGCCGACGUCAUCAAUGAUGGCGCGAUCUGAGCUCAGCAAUCGCGGCACGCAGCCCAUCCUCAUGUGCAUCACCAGCGGCAUGCUUCUCUACGCACAAUACUACCUUUCCUUUCGCUCUCUGGAAGUCGCGCGACAGUGCGCGCGCGUCGCACUGCAGGUCGCCCAAGAAGUGCAGUCUAACGCCAUUCUCGCCCUGGCCCACUACACCGCACACGUCGUCGCGACACAUCAGGGAAGGCCUGCCGACGCCGCGAACAGCAUUUCGAUUGCCCUCCAGCUGACGUUGCCUAACGGGUCCAGCCGCGGCAGUGGGCAGAAAGGCGGCCCCGCAGACGAGUCGCUCUCGUCGCUGGCACCGACGCUUUCGGGCAUGGAUGCCCAAAUGGCUAGCCUCGCCUUCGCCGGGGCGGCACAGCUGCUCCUGUUCUUCCCCGGUGCGGUGGGUCCGGCGCUGCGCUCCAUCCUUUCGACCGGACAGCGCUGCGAUCGCGGCGGCGUCGGUGACGGCGGUGCGGAGGCGCAGCACACGCGAGGAGCGGAAGACGGUCGUUCUGAGGAGCCUAGAGACCUCGUCACGAAGCAGAGCGGCGCCGUGACGGUGCAGACUGUCGCGCAGUCGAUUCGCCACGCGCUGCUGCGCGCUCACGUGGCGCUGCUGCAAGCGCCGCCGGUGGAGGGACGGUGGAUCGGCGUAGUAGCGAGUCUGCAGCGAGAGACGCUGCUGCUCAUCGGGGCAAUGUACGGCAUGGUAUCGUCGCCGCUAGUCAUCACGACGACGUCGCUCCGCCAACUUCUUGAGGAGGUGAAAGAAGAGACCUCGACCGCGUCGCCGGUGUACAGCCACUACCCGAGCCGCACGCUGCUGUGGGAGGUGCUGCGGCACGCCGCGCACCACGCCUUGGCCCUGCAAGAGGGUUUCCUUGCACCUGUGAAGCGUGCUGUAAACGACGCUGGCGCUGGCGCUGCUGCAAGCGACGCGCUUCAUUGUCUGCACUCGGCCCUGACAGCCGUUGGCGACCACUACGGCGCCUCAGCAUCAGCCACGGCUAACGAAAUCGUUUUCUUCGCAUCCGUGGUUCGCUACUGCGCGGGGUGCCAGCUUUACGCGGACGGCUACGUUGCCGCCGCCUACGAUGUGUGGUCGAGGCUGGCAGGGGCACUGAAUCCCAGCGCCUGCACCGGUGACAUGGACGGGGGGCAAGACCGGCGGCAUCGCGCGGACGAAAAGCCCGCCGACGCCGACGCGUCGGUGAACCUCUCCGGCUUUCUGAAGGAGACGGGCGCGGCACACUUUUGGCCCCCGGACCAUCUGCUCCUGUACGCCCUGGUGCAGCGCCGGCGUGCGCAGGCGGCAGUUUUCCUUGACUACAUCGCGGUGCCUCACCGGCUGCAGAAGGAGCUGCUCGCCGUCUCCUCUCGGUACGCCUUUUCCUUUGGCGUUCUCACCGCGCAGCUUAUGCAGGCACAGGUGCACCAACAGCAUGGCCGCUUCAGCGCCUCGCUGAACGUGGCGCGCGAUGUGGAGAGAGCGGCGACACGCAUCGGAUACCCGAGUCUAUGUGAAGCGGCGCGUGCACUCCAAGUGACGGCCUACAGCAACAGCGGCUGCUGGAGAGAGGCGCAGCGCACACUGGCGCGUUGCCACCCCACCACCGCAGCCCAGCGCAGCGUUCUCCUGCUGCAACAGUACACGGCGCAUCUGGAGCCGCUGCUGCUCCGAAAGCCAGUGUCAACAGGAAAGGUGGAAUGCCUAACACGCAGUUGGGUUGCUCUGCUCAUGCGGGAGGGUCUCGUGACGGCGCAGACCGUGCACGACGAUGGCGACUUGCGCGUCUGCGCCACCGCUUUCGGGAUAUCUGCUGUCGAUGAGUUGUGCCUGUACAGCUCCCUGCAGCGAGCGUGUGCGCUGCUUGGGCAUCGCACCAGCGCCAUCGCAAAACGAACGGCCACCUGCCUGGAGACGCUCAUCGCACGACAGCAGCGCCCCACGCCUGACGUGUGCAUUUACGGGAGCUGCGAGGAGAUCUGCCGAAGCGGCCUUUGCGGUGGCCGGCCAUGCGAUGUGCGGAAAGACCUGUAGCAGAGGUAGACGGUGGCGUCGCCUUCGCUCAGCGAUCCCGCCUUUCCCUCCGCUGUGGCGCGCGUGCCGGCGAAUAUGUGCGUGCUGUCGAAGGCGGCGUUGAUUCCAGUGUCAUAGCGCUUCGCUGUUGCAUACAUGCACACCUCCGUUGGCGCAGGUAUCUCAGG